GAACUGGUGUAGUAGUGGCUUGAGUGCUGGACUAUGACUUUGGAGGCCAGGGUUCGAAUCCCUCCUUGCUCA
Molecule: non-coding RNA, 72 nt
Organism: Phrynosoma platyrhinos (Desert horned lizard)
Lineage: Eukaryota; Metazoa; Chordata; Lepidosauria; Squamata; Phrynosomatidae
Source: the annotation of a GenBank genome assembly